Molecule: ribosomal RNA, 567 nt
Filed under: Enterobacterales bacterium
Lineage: Bacteria; Pseudomonadati; Pseudomonadota; Gammaproteobacteria; Enterobacterales
Description: bacterial SSU rRNA
Rfam family: Bacterial small subunit ribosomal RNA
Source: RNAcentral
UUGAGGCGUGGCUUCCGGAGCUAACGCGUUAAGUCGACCGCCUGGGGAGUACGGCCGCAAGGUUAAAACUCAAAUGAAUUGACGGGGGCCCGCACAAGCGGUGGAGCAUGUGGUUUAAUUCGAUGCAACGCGAAGAACCUUACCUACUCUUGACAUCCAGAGAACUUUCCAGAGAUGGAUUGGUGCCUUCGGGAACUCUGAGACAGGUGCUGCAUGGCUGUCGUCAGCUCGUGUUGUGAAAUGUUGGGUUAAGUCCCGCAACGAGCGCAACCCUUAUCCUUUGUUGCCAGCGGUCCGGCCGGGAACUCAAAGGAGACUGCCAGUGAUAAACUGGAGGAAGGUGGGGAUGACGUCAAGUCAUCAUGGCCCUUACGAGUAGGGCUACACACGUGCUACAAUGGCGCAUACAAAGAGAAGCGACCUCGCGAGAGCAAGCGGACCUCAUAAAGUGCGUCGUAGUCCGGAUUGGAGUCUGCAACUCGACUCCAUGAAGUCGGAAUCGCUAGUAAUCGUAGAUCAGAAUGCUACGGUGAAUACGUUCCCGGGCCUUGUACUCCCCGCCCGUCA